CAUAGCAUGCAUGGGUGCUCGAUUAAGUCGGGCUGAGACUGCGGCCGUAUGCCGCUGACCAUUGAUCUGAUCUGGGUAAUGCCAGCGUAGAGAGAAUGCAUCGCGCACGC
Molecule: regulatory RNA element, 110 nt
Organism: Paenibacillaceae bacterium GAS479
Lineage: Bacteria; Bacillati; Bacillota; Bacilli; Caryophanales; Paenibacillaceae
Rfam family: TPP riboswitch aptamer (THI element)
About the family: Vitamin B(1) in its active form thiamin pyrophosphate (TPP) is an essential coenzyme that is synthesised by coupling of pyrimidine and thiazole moieties in bacteria.
Source: Rfam